This 642-nucleotide ribosomal RNA is filed under the name uncultured marine eukaryote. RNAcentral's name for it is "bacterial SSU rRNA". It matches the Rfam family "Eukaryotic small subunit ribosomal RNA", at positions 619 to 1258 of the family's 1831-position model. The record is from RNAcentral.
UUAAAAAGCUCGUAGUCGGAUUUCGGCCGACUGCCUGGCCCGCUAGCAGAUAAUGCUUGUGAGUGCCGGCGCGUGUCUACCAUCCUUCUAGAGAACGGUUCUAUCCUUCAUUGGACUGGAUCCGCUAUCUAGAUCUUUUACUUUGAAAAAAUUAGAGUGUUCAAAGCAGGCUUGCGCUAUGAAUACAUUAGCAUGGAAUAAUAAUCUAGGACUCUCGUCUUAUUUUGUUGGUUUCUAAGAUAAGAGAAAUGAUUGAUAGGGAUAGUUGGGGGUGCUAGUAUUCAGUGGCCAGAGGUGAAAUUCUCGGAUUCACUGAAGACUAACUUAUGCGUAAGCAUUCACCAGGGAUGUCUUCUUUAAUCAAGAACGAAAGUUGGGGGAUCGAAGACGAUCAGAUACCGUCGUAGUCUCAACCAUAAACUAUACCGACUAGGGAUUGGUCAACGUUGCAUUUUCGACUUGAUCAGCACCUUAUGAGAAAUCAAAGUCUUUGGGUUCCGGGGGGAGUAUGGUCGCAAGGCUGAAACUUAAAGGAAUUGACGGAAAGGCACCACCAGGAGUGGAGUUUGCGGCUUAAUUUGACUCAACACGGGAAAACUUACCAGGUCCAGACAUAGCAAGGAUUGACAGAUUGAUAGCUCU